Gallus gallus (chicken) is the source of this 12223-nucleotide RNA transcript. RefSeq lists it as uncharacterized. Lineage: Eukaryota; Metazoa; Chordata; Aves; Galliformes; Phasianidae. The transcript is spliced from 9 exons. The record is from RefSeq and is a predicted model, not a curated record.
GAGGCAGAACAAUUGAGGCGAAUCCUGUUCCAACCUCGAUGAUAAACACAUGGAAAAGGCUGUGACUGCUCUGCGGAUUGCUGGAAUUUGGGGAGACAUUAGGAAAAUAAACACACCGAUGGCUCCGCAUCGGCGGUACAUGCAGUGAAAGGAUUUGGCGGCAGUGAAGGCAGAAUCUGCUGCUUUAGGGGCACUGGACCUGAAAAGCUAUCGACGGAGCUUUACACCUCCAAUGACUCCACGAAUCGAUGUGAGCCGGGCACACGCCUGAAUCCAAUCAGACCCGGGUUUUUGAAGAAACUUUUCUUUCCCGUGAGCUCCAGGCAGCAAAACGCUGUUUGAGGAGACCGCGAGCCGCUUUCCGGGCUGCUGCUAUAAUUAAUUUAGGUGUGGCGAUCCCAGAUCCGAGGGAGAAGGAAAUGAUUGAUGCCGCCAGAACCCCCUUCCCUUACGCAGCCCCGAGCAGCGCCCGGCGCAGGCUGGCAAACUGCUUUUCUGUCCAGAGAUCAACCAGGGGGCCUGAUACUUUUUAUUUUGUUACUUGCACCAUGGGAGAACUUGUAUCAUCGAAAGACAAUUUCAUUUUGAGUCCACUGCUUGUGAGCACUGUUGAUCCUGGACGUCACUAGCAAUAUGAGCCUUGGCAAUAAAUCGUUACAGAGGGCGGGGACCCAGGGAGACUCUACAGAUGUGAACACAGCCCAUUGGAUCAAACAUGUUGAUCCAGGUACCUCUGGACAAGAUCGAGCACACAUGACAAAUGCUUCUGACUUCUUUUUAAAUCGAACCUGGAAGGUCAUCGCUGAACAAACAGAAUGCUAUACAACCGUGGCCAUAAAUUGUGAAAGCUAACAAUAAGUGCAAGAUUACUCCCUUGGGAAAGCAGAUACCUGUGUUCUGAGACAUGAAUCUACACUAUAAUCUCGCAGCGUAAACAGGAUAUGAGCAGUUUCAUUAUGUACUUCUCAGAUGCAUCUUUAACCAGGAUAAACUACUCUCACAGAGGUUGAAAGGACUGAAUUUGCAAUAUUAAUAAAAUGCCCUUUUUUGUUUGUUUGUUUGUUUUUUGGUGAAAGAAAGUCCUGUCUGAAACUGACAAACUAAUUUUGCAGAAGAAAUCAUGACACUCAUUCAAAAGGAACAUCCAUUCUCCAAAAGGACAAUGUGGGAUAUCAGUACUGAUUUAAGGAAGUCUUUAAAAACUUUUUAGAAGGCUCUCAUAUAUAUAUUUAUUUAUCUACUAGGUAAGAAAGUCAACUAUGCUGAAAGAUUAUAUCUGAAGAACUGCUGAGGAUAAAAAUUUUUAAUAGCAUGCACUCAAUUCCUUCUACCAUGAAUGAAUCAGUUAUCUGUAAGAAUUCCUUCUCUUGUUAAUAUGAAGAACAAAAAAGGUAGUCAAGAAUAUGGCUUUCAUACAGGGCUUCAAGCCUUUUUAUUUUCAUUAACACAUACUUGUAAACAUCUGCAUAGUUGUGUUGUAAACAGAUAAAGAAGUCUUUUGGAAUGAAAGGCAAUUUACAAAAGCUGAUUAAGAAUCCUUUACACUUGGAUAAUGUUUAUACAUGGUCAAACUAGUAGGUCAUCUUACCUCCUUACUUGACCUAAAGACCAGAAUAUGUAGAUGAACUUAGGCAUGACCUUUAUAUCUACUUUUAUUCCUUCUUGCUUCCUGUGAUGUAGGGUUUUUAAGAAAAUAGAGAACUACUCUAUGACAAACCUUUAUACAAUGACCUAGAGGUAUAAUGGUAUUACUUUAAGACUGCUUUGAAUUUGAUUUGGUCUAAAAGUUAAGACAAUUACAGGUAUUUCACAGUUCAGUACACAAAAAUAGUGGUUAGAACAAGUUAGAUUGAGUGGAGAUUUGUGGAUUCCUACUAUUGCUUAUUUUUUCUAUUUUUAUUUUUGUGAUAAUGAGACUGAAGAGGAAACAUUAGUACUAUUAUCUGCUUGCAUUUUGGGUAAUACCAUUCUGACCCAAUGUAGAUGAUCCUAAAAUUACUGAGUAAACACAAAAAAGCCCAGAGAAAUAUUUAGUAUCCUGUAACAUACUUCAUAUUCUUAUGUCUUAAGUAGCUGUAAUACUUUAGGAUAAACACUUCUAUACAAAAUAAAAUAAUUAUAAUUAUUUUCAAAGACUUACCUACUGGUACUUCUAAAAUAAAGUCUGGUGUUUUGUCAUAACCCUUUGCACGAAGCUGAUCUUCGGCUACACAGAGAGAACAAGACCUAUUGUUUAUAAAACUCUUCUAUUAAGUAGACAGCAGUAUAAUUAAUUUUAUUUUAAAUAACAGUGUAAGAAUUACUAAUGCAGUCAUACAUAUCUUUCUUAUGCAUGCAAUGAUGUGUCAGAUUAAAUGAACCUUUGUAGAAAACCUGAAGCAUGGAUAUAAAAAUGCUUCUUUGUCAUCCCUGCAUUUUUAUGUCUUCAUUAUAAACAUCAUUAAUUCAAGCUGUCAUACAGUAUUUUAUAACCUCCAAAUAUUCAAAAUAAAGAGAUAGAUUCACUGAUUGAAAGAAGAGUUUCCUCACAUUAGGGAGCUGUUGAGAUUAAUCCUACCAACACCACAAAUGUAGAUAUAUUGCAGCUGCCUUCAUGGCUUUAUUUUAAUGUUAACACAAAGGUGUUUAAAACAAACAAACAAAAAAAACCAACAACCACCAACAUGACAGUUCUUCUCUUCCAGAAAUCUAUUAAAGAAGAGGGAUGUCAUGAUUCUAGCUUCUCUUACUGUAAAAUUAAUUAAACACAUAAAAAUUUAGAUAUUUUCUUAACAUAAGCUAUACAACUCUACUGCUUCUGAAUUAAAUCUGAAUGUUUUAAGAAACGAGUAAGAAAGAAGAGAGCAAAAAAAAGGAUGCUUCCUUUAAAAAGGAAAAAGAGCACAAAGCAAGCCCUCACUGUUUUUUAAACUAUUGUCCUUGAUUUCCAAUACCAUUACAUUGGUAUUUCCGAAACACCAUUUCUCCAUUAGAUUUUGGAGUGACCUGGUCAUUCAAUUCCAGGCAUGGCUUUCUGUCUUCACCGAAGCUCAACUAAUGGCACAACCUAGUAACAAGUAAGGCUGUGUAGCCCCUUAACACCUACUGGGCUGUUGACAUUGUCAUGCAUCCCAUUCGCCUCUCUACACCACCUUUGAUUAAAAUUAAUGGUCCAUUCUCACUGUUGGGUAGCUUAUUUCCAAUCCAUUUAUCAGGUUAGGACAGUAGUUUCAUGGCCAGUGUUCAGAACUCAGUUUUAGAAUAUUUUGUGCAUAUUCUGAAAGGUCAGCAAUUUGAGUCCAAGCAACCUUUUAAUGACAAGAAAAAUAUAUACACGUAGAAAUAAAAAUAUUUUAAUAUUGCCUAAAGCCCUCCUUCCCUUUCCUUGUUGAAAAAAAAAGUCCAAAGUCUUUUUUUCAAGACAGUGAACUAACUAAUACUGCAAGUAGGACAGCAGUAAUUCUGAAAAGUUGUACGUUCAGUUAAGUGCAAACUACAAUGGUGGAUUAUUCUUUUUGACAGCUAUAGUAUUUCUUUUGAAUUUUGACAGCAUUUCUUCAUAGUAAACACACUGCACUUUAAAUGCAGGUCUCUGGAAUGGAACACUAAUUUAUAUUACCUGGUCAGCUACUAAAUUUUCAUAGGAUCUGGAGCCAGUCUUGACUGUUGGCUACUUUCAAACUUUGAUUGUUAGAUAUAUGGACAAAAUAUGCUUAGAUUAGCAAGGUUCUGGCUUAACAGAACCUAUGGUCUUUAUGCCACAGUAUAAAAAUGAAUGCAAUUCCUUUAUCUUGAAAAAAAACCAACCAAACAAACCCAGCUUUAUCAAGCUCUCUUGCAAUUAUUUAGAGCAGUAGGAAAGGAAAGGAAAACAAGAUAUCCCCACUGAAAUUUUAAUGUAGGCAAUACACAAAUAGUAAUAGAAAGUUCAGACUUUUCUAUCAUAUAUAACAAAAUUCAGUAUCAGAAAUUUAAGGAAAUUUACCUUAAACAAAAAUCGCUACACUGGAAACCAGGGCAGAUAACAUGUCCUGACAGGUCAAUUUGGAAGAUGUUUGAAAUGGUGUUUAAUACUCUUCACUAGACUCUUUUUUUGAGGAUGUCUGAGUACUUUUGAAAUUAUUUGACUCAUGGCUUGGAACAGAGUAUGAUUUCUGUUUUAAAUUUUUUUCUGAACGUUUUCACUUGGCUUUUCUAAACAGUUUGAACUAGGAGAAAUGGUGAAAAAUACAUUAAAAAAUACCUUUAUUAUUGAUGUAAGUUGACAAUAAUGUGAAACAAAAUAAUUGUAUUUUACUGUUUCUUCAAUUGUUUUGAACUUUACAACUUUGGAAAAGAAAAGAAUUACAGAAAUUCACCCAGAUCACCCUUUGAAAACAUUUUUUAAGCCCAAACCCCAUCAAAAGAAAGAAAGUACAAUCUUUUCAGCCCAUAAGUGUUUUAGGUUGGUACAGAAGUCUUAGAGGUAUCAUUCUGCACACUUCCAAAGAUUUUUUAGCUUUCGUAUGCAUCAAAAUAAUGGCUUAACAACUACUUGAAAACCAGAUGAUGGCAGUUCAAGCUCUUCAUCUUAGAAUAUGAAAGUUACACUGAAACAAUCCUAAUUUUGCUCACAUAUCAGUUUGUAUUUCCAACACAUCUAGAACUUCAUCUUUACUUAUACUCAAUCUUGACCAUUUAAAUUUGAGCAACCUGGUCUAUUGAAAGGUGUCCAUGCACAUGGCAAGGUUUGCAAUUAGAUGAUCUUUAAAGUCCCUUCCAAACCAAACCAUUCUGUGAUUCUGUGAACUCGUCAUUGUUUUUAUACUAGCCUCUGGAUAUAACAAAGAAACCAAAUGUUCUUCUAAUGGUGCAUGAAUAUGCAGCAACUGCACAUUUUUGAUUACAGCAGAAAACACCAAACAGAUUUCAUGAUUUAUAUGCAGGCUACCAAGGGACAUCAUGGUGGCAGCCAAAGAAGGUUAAGAUUCUAGAAACCUCAGUUAGAUAUCUUCCCAUUAUUGCUAAACCUUUCCUAAUAUAUUCUGGGGUAGGCAAAGACAUGAAAAGAUUGAGUCAGGCCCUUUGUAAAACCUAGAAAUUCCUGGCAAUUCAGCAAGGCAAGUGAAUCAGUGAGGAAGGGAAGGUGGUCAGCCUAUUUUGAGAGGAUGCUUUCAUUGAUUAUAUAAAUCUCAAGCGAAGCACUAAAGACAUGAGAACUGUUUCUGACGUAGAGAGGAAGUUAUGAGCUUCUCAUGAACUAUGCAUUACUAAAAUGCAAAACCCAUCAGUUUGCGCAGGUUCCCAAUCAAUUUCUGGGAGAAUCUGGAGGUGUUACUUCGGAUCUGUAGGCUUUGAAAGCUAUCUGCUCUAAAAAUUAAUCAUCUCUCUGCCCUUAAAUGCUGUCAAGCUUUUUUUCUUCUGUAAUAUAGUCUCCCAGGUGAAAAUGACUGAUAGAAAGAACUUAUUAUCCUAGGAGAAUAGUAUACUGGAGUAAUACACUAACAUGAAAUAGCAGCAAUAAUUUUGUUUCUUUCAUAAAUGGGUUAAAAAGUAACAGAACUGUAAGUGCAGCAAGCUAAGUCCCAAGCUACCUCCAACACUGGAACUCCAUCUUACCCAUAGGCAAGCCUGAAUCUGCUAACCUAUAGGAAAUACUGCCAUCUCUACUGUUUUCCAGAGGUUUUCUUUAAGUAUUAAGUAGUUUGUGAUCUAAUUUUUGAGAAAAAUUUUACUACAAGGGUUUCAGUAAGGUUCAUCUUACAGAUACUUAGGAAACAGAUGUUUCUCUCUCUUUUUUAGUCACACCCAGAACCUCUGAGACACAUCCCAUAGAAAGAAAUAAUAAACCAGUUAACAUACCUUAAAUCAUGAAUAGAUGAUACAUCACUAUUCAAAAAAUCUAAACAAUAAAUUAAACUCCCUCAUUUAUAUCUUUUAAUGCUGACAAGUUAACCCAUUAUAGACAUUUUGAUUUGACAGUACAAAUUUCUUAGAGCUUAUUUCUAAAGACAAAAUUGAUGUUUACCCAAGGUUAUGAAUCAACAAAAUUUAAAUCUGAUCUGUGUACUAUCCAAGCUCGCACAAGCCAAAAAAUGAUAAUCACUGGGUUGAGGAUCCAUUAGUGAGUCAUCUAGUCCAUUCUCUUGUAUCAUGACAGGAUUGAUUUCAUUUCCAGCUCUGAUGGAUGAAUGUCAAGUCUAGCCUUGAAUUUUUCAUUGAAGGUGAUUCCAUAACCUUCCCUGGCAGCUUGUUUUAUACUUAUUGUGCCUAGAACAGUUUAGUAUUUUAACUCUCCAAUUACAGCUUAAGUCUAUUAUCUCUUAUCUUUGAGCCAUGUAGGAAAAAAUAUCUUCUCACAUUUUUGUAGUAUAAUUUGUAAGUUUGUAUGUAACAGAAAAAUAAGUUGUUCCUUAAUCAUAUGGACCAACCUUUUAAAAAUCUCAGUAGUCUUCCUAAUUUCUUCAAUUUGUUUAAGGUUUCCAAAAUAUUAUCCUGAAUCUAUUUUUACUGGUAAAACCAGUCAUAUCCCCUAAUUAUACAAACUUAGUACAACACAAAUCUUUAGGAAAGACAGGAAUUCACUUUAAUAUUAUCUAAUCACAUAAUGAAUUCAAGAUUUAGAAGUCAGGUUUAUAAUCACAAUAGGAGAACUGAUCCUUUAAAUACUAAUCAUUGUUUUAAUGGUACUAAUAUACAAGAAAUGUUGUGCAGGCUAAAAGGAAAACAACAACAACAACAGAAAACAACUUCCUAACUAAUUAAUCUUUAAAAUAACUUUAAAAUCAGGGACUUGCACUAUUUGGAGGCAGUGGGAAAAAAUCCGCAGAAACUGCACAGAAAGCCAAAUGAGCGAAUCUUCUAGCAGUUCUUUAAUACAUAAAGCAUUUGGAAGCUAAUAUUUCUUAUGGUUCCUCCUAAGUCUCAUAGAUUAUGGCUAAUAUCUCAUGACACCAAAAGUAAUACUGCAGCAGAUAUUAAAGCAUUUUUUUCAGCUACUUAUUCUAUUAAAUAUUAAUUGCAAGCCUGUGCAUGUACUGUAUAUAUAAGGUAUUAGGUAACUGAGUUCCUGCUCAGUUCUAAAUCAAUAAAAGAUAACAUGUACAGCAUCAAUCACUUUUUACUCUUUUUUUACUACCUAAUACAAAGAGCACUGAGGCUUAUUUUUUUCUUAAGUAAACAGUCCCGGAAAUCUUUAAAGUUAAGGAUUCACUGGCUAGCCUUUAUCAUUGAUUCUUACCUAUAAAAGAAAGAUUUUUUUCCAAAAGCAUUUCUCUCAGCAAGACUUCAUGCUCAUGUCCAAUAGCACUGAUCGCUUUAAGUUAAGAAAUGGAAGAUUACUUUGGAAAAUAACCAAUGUCACAACAAAAAACAUAGGUAAAGUAAUUCAUGAGAAAAUUUGUUGGCCUUCACUUUCAUUUCAUCGUAAUUAAUGAUUUGAACACUAAGUCUACAGAUUCCUUACAGGGAUCAUCAACAUAUAUUUUACAUAAUUAAGAUCCAUUACUUAUCAUUUAUUCUGUACACAUAAGAGUGAUAGUUAUAUUUGUACUAUUUUUUCUCUCAAGAUUUAAAAUAAAGUGUAAGCUUAAAACCUUUAAGUUACUCCUUAAUGGUUUAUGUAUCAAUUUUCUAAUUUAGUAAAGAGUGAAAUAAACUUUUUUCCUUUAUAUUCUGAAAUUGUUAGGUACUUAAUACAUCUGAAACAUCUUACUGCAACAAAACAUCUUCUUAAUUGAUUUUUCAGAAGCGUGAACUUAUGUCAGGGAAAGAUGAAAUAAUAUUUUACAGUGAAGUCCUUUUCACUUCACUGACAGCCUGUUGAUCCAAUGUGCUAUUCUUAGCAAUAUGCAAAAAAGUCACUGCUGAAAUAUUUUUAACAUAUCCAUCUAGAGGUCAAAGUUCUGUUCUGGAGGCUUUUAAGGAGAACCUUAUGAAACAUCACAAUAAAGAAUCUUACAUUAAAAAACAAUUAAAUUCUUUGUUCUGUUUAGUGUAACUUCUUCAAAGGUAAACUACAGAUCAUCUUACCAUUACAAUUAAUUACUUAAAUUAUAUCAACAUUUUAUGCUGAAGAAGAAAAAAUCUAAUUGCAAGGAAUUGUUUCAUACAUACAAAGUUUUAAUCAAUUGAAGCUAUAUAUUACAUUAAACUAUACUAGCAGUUACAGAACAAAAAUGUGGGCAAAUGAAGAAUGGCAAAAAUGUAAGAAAAAUAUCACAAGCAGAUUUUAUACUGCACCAUAAGCAGAAACACUUAGUCUAUAAUAAUACCUGUUAUUGAUGUAUGGCAAUGACCAUGAGGCAAAACUUGUAAAUAACCUCACAAGCCAUCUUCUAUUCAUGCAAUCUAGCAGCCUAGUUUCCCGUAAGCAUCUGAACUAUUACUGAAAAAUAGCCUCUUGGCAUUUACAAAGAGGUUGACUUCAUACUUUAGUCCAUGCAUAUACGAUUAGAUAGUUAUAUUUAAAAUCAAUAUGCAGUCCUUCAGAAGACAUUAUGCUUUUAAAACCUUAACUUUAAAUUGAUUUUUAACUAUUUUAUGCACCUCAAAAUUAACAUCUAAUUCAGCAACAUACUUGAAGAUAAUGCACUCACACAGUCAAGUAUUAGGCUUUUCUGUACCAGAAUGGAAUUGAAAAUCUCCCUCAUUAUUCUCACUGAUGUUGCUGCAUAUUCAAUAACUUAACUUGAGCCAUAAUCUGGAGAGGAUAGGGAAGAUUACUUAGACUGCAGAGAAGUUAUUCUUAAAAAUUGCUAUUAUUAUUUUUAAACAUGACAUUAUAAGAAGACUUUGCCAGAUUGUUCAUUGACAAUAGUACCAAAUUUUGGAUUAAAAAGUAAUGAACAACUGUUUCAAAAGUAGAAUUUAUUAGAUUAAUCCACUUUCAGAGAGCCAUGUUUAAUGUUGAAGACAGUCUCACUGAAUACUUAAAAACACAAAAAAAUCCCAAAUCACAAAUAUAAUUAGAACUCUAUCCUGCUGCUGUUAAACUUAAUGGGAGCAGGACUGUAGUAGAUACCAUGUGAAUAUUUGGAGUGGAAAGAACACAUUUUAAGAGAUAACCACCACAUGCAUCAUUACUACAGGAAGUGCUUCUCAUGCAUAACUAAACAUUAUUGCUUGUUUCCUAUUCUACUACUGAACAGUGAAAGCUAGAUCUUCAAACUGGAUGCAGAGAUUUAUGGAAGGAUUCUCUUUGACUUGGGACAAAGCCUAUGAAUUUGAAACUGUUUGCUCAAUAACAAAUUGAAAUAGGAGAGCUACUUAUUUGGGACUUUAUUAAUACAAGUUUGAGGUUACAAAAAUAAUUCCUAUAAAAUUUGAAAUAAAUACUUAGUCCUGAAAACUCAGUGCUGUGUGGAGUUCCCCCAGUAGCCUCACUGGAUCCUGAGGAUCUCUAAUCAGUUCAACACUACCAUAAAAAAAGAAAAAAAAAAUCUCACAAAAUUCAAGCUACAUAAUGCUUCUUUUCUAUAUCACUAGAAGGUUAGACACAUUUUAGUGCUAGUUAGACAACAUAUCACAGCAUUUGAAAACAUUCUAAUUAAAAUUCAUAUUCAAAACAAAGCAAUGCCGUGAAAUCCGACACUAUCUAUGCAACUUAUUAAUUUAAUCACAGGUUAGUUGAGAUUGGAAGGUCCUUCAAGAGAUCAUCUAGUUCAACCUCACUGCUUGAAGCAGAUUAAACUGGUUUUAAUAGAAAACCAGAUAUGACUUUUGACUAAUCAAAGAGGUUCGAUCAGGUAUAUGAAUGUGUAGCCACCAAACUGACACUUCCCAUACUCCAUCAGAUUUUUUUUAAGCAGUGUAAGAGAAAGCUCCGCAGUGACCCUCUAGCUGAUUGAAUGUAAAACAGAGGAGUAUGAAAUGUGUUUUGUGAAGCAGAACUUUAUGUCAGGUUAAAGCUAGACACAUCUCUUCCACACAGUCUAAGCUCGUCAAUUGUGCACCUAAAAUUUUAUGGGAAAGGAUACUGUUUGAUGCAGUCCACCAGUGGUCCAUAACAACAGUCAUUCACAGUACACUGCAGACAAAUAAGAGAAGUAGUAUAGUGAUGGGCAACUACAAAACCAUUACAGUUAAACAGUAUCUUAAAAACAGUAAUUACUUUUCUUCAGAAAGGCUAUCAGAUGCUGUUCAGAUUUAAUCACAGAAAACAAAAACUGCAUGCUUUUAUUCACUAUAAAAGCAAGCUAUUAAAAAGUGAAAUGUUCCCCUCACAAAUAUUGCCUUGCCAUUUAUGGUGCACCCUGACCUCAGUGAUAGUUUACGAUGACAGUAAUUAAAUGAGGUUUAAAAUCUUUUACUCUGCUAGGCAGAUAACAGCAUUGCCACAGGAAAAAAAAAAAAAAAAAGAAAAGAAAAAAAAGAAAAAAGAAAAAGACAACUGUGAUUAAUACCUGAUAGAUCUGAUUUGCUAGAACUCCAUCUGGAAUCUGAGAAGGAUCCCGUAGCAUACUAUUUAUAAGAGUUUUGGAUGCUAAUGAAAAAAAAGAAUAAAAACAUAAAAUCUGUUAGAUUCGUUAUCCACUUGGCAUGAAGAGAGACAUGCUUUUAUUAAGGAAAAUAUUGACAAUUUUGACAUUUUUUAGAGUUAACCAGCCAGCAACAACAAAUUGCAUUUAUUGCAAUUUAUCCACUCUUAAAUAUGAAGUCUAAAAAGUCUUAAAACAUCAGAACAUUUUAUUAGCACAGAGUGAAAGCAGGCCCUUGUUUACUUAUUCAGUUUCACUGGACAGUUUGUGCUUCAGAAGCAUCAUGUGGCUCCUAAGUAAAUGGCUUGAUAUAAACAAAAUGUAACUCAAAAUAACCUCCAUAUCUUAUAAGAACUUAAAGAAUACAUAAAAGCUCAAAAUAACCUUUAAGAAUUAUGCUUGGUUUGAACAAUCUUAAGUAUGUGAUUGACUUGAUGAUUUCAGUCUAGCAGUUCUCAAAUGUAUUUAUUUGUACAGUGUCAACACUUCUAUUUGUCUGUAUUUAAAAGUUGUCAAAGGCUUUUUGUGGUGUUUUCAAAUGUAUAAAUCAAAGACAAAAGAAAUCAUAGGUUAGGACUAUUUAUCAGUCUUCCAUUCACUGCUACCAAUAUCACAAUGAAAAAGAAAUAACAUAAAUCAGGAGAUGGCUUUAGUUUAUUUUCAAAUGUGAAUACAGUCCCUUGAAGAGCUGGCAUUCUGUUUUACCCACAGAUGCUUUAUUUGGGUUGGUUGCCUAUACCAAUUAAUUCCUAAAAGGAGUGGAAAAACUUUAUUCUACAAGAAUGCCUUCUAAAAACAUCAAACAUUUCAUUUUACAAUUUCUCAGAGAAAAAAAUCAACACUGCUGUGCAAGCACAAGCUGCCUCAUUCUUGGGAACAACUGCUGAUAGAGUUCAGCUGGUGGUAUAUUUACACCAUCAAAUCCCUAAGAGUAGGCCGGGCUUGGGACUAGCAAGGUUCCCAGCUUUGCCAAAGAUUUCCUGUGUGACUUCAGGCAAAUUCCUUUAACCUGUAUGUGCUUCAGUCCUGUAAACAAAGAUAAAAACAUUUUUUUUUCUGCUUCUCCUCUAAUUUUCCAUGACUCAGGGUCAAAGUUUUGUCACUCCCUUCAGUGACUGAACUGGAAGGUGCAGAUGAUAUGUCAUGAAAGGACUUGUGGAAGCUGUGAUGUGAAGGGACCCUCUAUCUAAGCAGUAAUGCCAGCGGUGUUAGUAUGUGUAGAGGCUGUGCUGAAAAUAAAAGAGAUGGUGAUUUUAAUCCUCUUCCCAGAUGUUGCCUUCUAGAAAUAUCACAUUCAAUUGUAAGUAUAGUGUAAAAAUUGAAACAGCAUGGAAGUGCUACGGUUUUUAUGUGCGCAAUAAGGUCCAUCAGAAAGUAAAGUUUUUUAAAACACUGAGCUUGCAUGGAUUUCUCCCUUACUUAAUCAAAAGUAAGAUGCCACUGGUGAACAUUUAAACAAAAGCAGGCCAUAUGCUCUUAUUCAAGCUUUUACGGUACUUUCGAUUGUGGUCACAUUGAAUAAUUGGUUGAACACAUUAAGUAAAUGAGGAAUAUAACACACAUUUCUUUCAAAAGAAUAAAUCAGUUCUAUAGUAUUGCAAUUACAUGAACGUUAAAGUAAUAAUUUAAUUGCAUUUUUGCAGACGCUAGCAGAAAUAACUAUAGUGCACCUAAGAAACUGAAAUACAUAGGAAAAAAUUCUGUAAAUCUAACAAUGUUCAGAGGAGUUGAAGAACUUGUAUUUAGAUUUUUAAAACAGCUGCAAUAAAGCAUUAAGUUUACUGUGA